This 72-nucleotide transfer RNA is filed under the name Stegodyphus mimosarum. It matches the Rfam family "tRNA". Rfam says of the family: Transfer RNA (tRNA) molecules are approximately 80 nucleotides in length. Their secondary structure includes four short double-helical elements and three loops (D, anti-codon, and T loops). The record is from Rfam by way of RNAcentral. Lineage: Eukaryota; Metazoa; Arthropoda; Arachnida; Araneae; Eresidae.
GUCUUUGUGGUGUAAUGGUCAGCACACUCGGCGCGUAUUCGAGAGGUCGUAGUUCGAAUCCAGGCCAGGACA